AAGACACCCUUAUAAGGGGCAGGACUUGCUUCAGUGGGGCUUUAGUGCUCACUGAGUCUGCCCCUUGAGUGUGUCAUU
Molecule: non-coding RNA, 78 nt
Organism: Myotis lucifugus (little brown bat)
Lineage: Eukaryota; Metazoa; Chordata; Mammalia; Chiroptera; Vespertilionidae
Source: Rfam